Molecule: long non-coding RNA, 825 nt
Filed under: Coturnix japonica (Japanese quail)
Lineage: Eukaryota; Metazoa; Chordata; Aves; Galliformes; Phasianidae
Description: lncRNA (ENSCJPG00005014147.1)
Source: RNAcentral
UCACUCUUAUGUGGGAGAAGACUCUGACCCCCUCAAAAAGAGGUACAGUCAAUUAAAAUGGUUCUGUGCCCUCCAUAUCACCUGGCUUGGCAAGAUACUGAAGAUUUAUAUUGGGAACUCCACUGAAGCCAUCUUUAAGUUCUCCAUCUCCUGAAUGUAUGACUGUAAAGACUGCAGCUGCUGGAGCAGGCGGAACAGAGCUACAGCUCCCUGUCUAUCUUCUGGCUCUGCAUCUCUGUGAGGAAGUCCUUGUCUCAGAGAAAGGAGAUGGUUUUAUUGAGGCAGAUCCCCCCAGGAGCUUGAAGUGCUACUGGAAGCAAGCAGAGGCUGUCCUGUGGAGACAAGGCUCAUGGUGAACUGAGAUGUUCUAUGGUCUGGAAGCAGUUGGUGGGAGCUUCACCUCCUCUAACGGCAGGAAAACUUUGGAGACACAGCUGAAGGAUUGAACAAUACCUACCAGGGAGGUAAAGAGGAUGGGGCUUUAAAACACCUACAGCUGGCUUCUACACCCCUCUGACCUGCAGUAAGUGACCUUCUUUCUUUUCCCAUCUUCUGCUGUCUCAGCAUAGAGAGUCAACUCAUCCCCAAGGCCACGUUUUGCUAUUGAUAUAUGCAAGCUCAAUUUAAUGAUUCUCCCAGCACUAUGGUCAUGUCUGCAGUCGUGUCAUUAAUGUAACUACAUCAAGCUUUUGUCAGGCAGUUUUGCUAUAUUAGAACAAUGCUAUUUCCUGUCCUAUUCUAUUCUAUUAUAUUCUAUUAUAACCAAAAUGUCUGAAGAAUUGGUAAUAAUAUUCAAUAUGUAUUAUGCUUUGGGCUUGAAUUCAG